AUUCCGUUACUGUACUCAUAACGCGGAACGAUUAGCGAAAGCAGGUUGUUCACACUUAGCAUAGCCGUUGUCGCAAACCUCUGGGUCCGUAUCGGAGUACGGCCGGACUUCGUCACGGGUAGCUUAGUUGGGUGGCUCCCAUUAAACUUUCUCUUGCAUUGGGAACGGUCUUGUUGUGAGACUCCACCUGUAGCAAGUGGGUUCGAGCAUGCGUAUGGUUACAUUUGGGCAACCCCUGCAGGGUGUACAUCUUAUCGAUAAGCCGUGUCCGCGGUUAUGGACGACUUGGAAUUGUAUAGCUUGAUCAUAGAACAACUUACACCUUUAUGUUGUUAAUAAUAAUUUGCUAAUAACUUGAUUAGUAAUUUAGCAUUACUACAACCGAUACCUAAUAAAACUUGUCCACCGUUGAGUGCCUUUUACAUUGCCUCUUCGCAAUUGUUGAAGGGGAUAUGUGUAAUCGGCUGGGUUAUGUUUGUGUAGUAUUUAUCUGUUACCUUGUGCGCUCUCUUAUCUUCUCUGAGUAGACGGAUGUUGUAGCGUGUCUCUAUUGGAUAGUAGCUUUGCUGCCGCUAAACUCCACAUAUAGCCGGGUGAAGUUUAUACCGCCCACCAGCGAGCAUAGCUGGUCUUGUCUCGCAAGUACGUGCCAAUGGUACUUACCCUCGCUUUCCUUUCUUUUUGUCUCCUCCCCCUUUUGUCGGCAACCGAUGGCCCAACUUUGACAGGUACGAGAUGACGACGUUAGCAAGGUUACCCUUCCGGCUUGGCCUGGGCAGGGUUAUGGACGCCAUCGUUUAUCUUCAGGACUCUUAGUCCAAUUUGUAUCUUGUCCGUACUCGGACGUAUUCGAUCUUCUGUAUGAUUUGGAUCUUUGUAUUGUAUAUUUGUAUCUUGACUCGUUGGAGUCAUUGUUGUAAUAUAUGUAUCUUGUGGGCUCUAUUGUAA
This is a non-coding RNA of Lolium perenne, 948 nucleotides long. NCBI's taxonomy places the organism in Eukaryota, Viridiplantae, Streptophyta, Magnoliopsida, Poales, Poaceae. The record is from RefSeq and is a predicted model, not a curated record.